UACGUAGGUGACAAGCGUUGUCCGGAUUUACUGGGCGUAAAGCGCACGUAGGCGGAUAUUUAAGUCAGGGGUGAAAUCCCAGAGCUCAACUCUGGAACUGCCUUUGAUACUGGGUAUCUUGAGUAUGGAAGAGGUUAGUGGAAUUGCGAGUGUAGAGGUGAAAUUCGUAGAUAUUCGCAAGAACACCAGUGGCGAAGGCGGCUCACUGGCCCGGUACUGACGCUGAGGUGCGAAAGCGUGGGGAGCAAACAGG
Molecule: ribosomal RNA, 253 nt
Filed under: uncultured bacterium
Lineage: Bacteria
Description: partial 16S ribosomal RNA
Rfam family: Bacterial small subunit ribosomal RNA
Source: RNAcentral